CUGUGAUGAACUAUGGGUAUCCAGGCAGAAGGACAAGACCAGAUGGGACAGACUGGCCCCAGGGAUCCCUGUCCCCAAGCACAGUUCCCUUCCUAGUUCUCAGUAUGGUUCCCCAUUAAUUGAAUGACUUGUCAUCUCCACUUGACUGACAGGCAAAUUCAUUUAGCUAACAAUGGCACUCCAUGACAGCCCCUCAAUUCCCCUUCUGCUUUCCCCCUCUACUCUCAAUUCCCAUGGGACUCUGGCUCCCAGCUCCAGCUGAGUCCCAGAACUCAGCCUGAGGCAUUCAUGAACUCCCCAAAUGGUUGGGGAUACAGAACUGUGUGCUGGAAGAGUAGGAGAAGACUUGUGAAACUUCAGCUGGAACCUAAUAAUAAUGUUUGAAUUUAUGGAAAGCAGGAAGAUAGUAUUUCAGCAGGGAGAACAGGAAGCAAAUUCACUAUAAAUAAACUUGAAGCUCCACCCAAAAGAAUAAUGGGAGAUAAAAUCCAGGCAAGAUCCCUGAUGAUUUCACGCUUCCUCCUGAAAAAUCUGGAGCUCAAUUGGGGAAGAUCAGAUGAUCCUGGGUGCCUUACUUCUUUGAUUAACUUGGUUCUGAUCCUGGGCCCUUUAUUUAUUUGGUUAACAGGUAAAAUGGUUGAGUAGAGAGGGGUACAUAUAAAGGGCAAAGAAGAGGAACCUUGGGCUGAGCCGAGAGUCCUGCAGAGAGAUGGUUAAAGCCAACGAUAGCUGGUCACGUUGAAUGAAUUCUGUUCAUCCUGUUCCUCCCCUAGCUGCUAAAACAGGUGUUUCUCU
Sarcophilus harrisii (Tasmanian devil) is the source of this 795-nucleotide long non-coding RNA. RefSeq lists it as uncharacterized. Lineage: Eukaryota; Metazoa; Chordata; Mammalia; Dasyuromorphia; Dasyuridae. The transcript has 3 exons. The record is from RefSeq and is a predicted model, not a curated record.